CAAAAGGAUGCAGGGAGGCUGCUGAUUUCCACUGAAGAGCUAAUUUCCUGUGAGACAUUAACAGUGAUUUAAGAAAAAGAUUCCUGUAACUGGUAAAUGAAUUUCAUUUGCUUAACUUUUAGAUGAUAUGUUUCAGGCAAAAAAAAAGUUGUGCACCCACUUAUCUCUUUAAAGCGGAGGAUGAAAAGCAUUGAAUAGGUAGGAUUCUUAAUGUCUGAGAUGAAGGCGAUGUAGGAGGCAAACAAUACGGUUAAAAAUGUUGAGUCGACCCAAACAGAAAGACCAGGUUUCAAUCCAGACUCUGCGGCUUACUGAGAAUAUGAUCUUGAGUAAACUGCUUGACCUUCCUGAGCCUCAGCUUUCUUAGUUGUUAAAUGGACUUUAACAAUACUAAUCUGUUAGGACUGUGGUGAGGAUGAAAUCAGGGAAAUCAGUCACAGCAGUGCUCUCCUGGCACAGGUAAGGAAACUGAGGUAUACAAGGAUGAACUUUUGCAAGGCUACAAAUCUUGUUAAUAGUGAAGCUAACGUUCAGACCCAAGUGGUUCGGCUCUAGACUUUGUCUCAGUUACUGAAUUGAACUCUCUGUGCACUUACGAUGUGUCAUACCAGUUCUCACUACAUAGUGUCCCAAAAGAUUGGGCCUGCUCUUUCUUUCAGAGACAAUUAGGAAAAAAGUAAACAAACGGAGCAGGAUUUGGGCAUAACAGCAUGCUCCUCCCAUCCCCCAAAUCCCAGGAGUGUCACUGAGGUCAGUGCCAGUUAACUUAGUGCUCUUCAACUUCACAGCUACCCUUCUUUGCCCUAAAUUGUGACAUUAGAGCUGAAAUCUGUAAACGUCUUUAUGGUCAGUUGGCACAGUGUUUAGCUUUGUCAAUAGAAGGUGCUAGGGGAACACUGCAGAAAGAAAGGGGCUCCUUUUCUUGGUUCCAGUGCUUUCCUGCUUGCUCCUACGGUGUGGUGGCCAGUGAGUGACUUUCUGACCAGUGGUGUGCAAGAAGGCCAUGUUACAUAAUCUUCAGUAAAUUUGGCCAGUUCCCUAGUAUGUGUCUUUCUAUGGAGUACCACUGGCAUGUCAGUGGAAUGGCUUCCUAGCAAGUUUUACUGAAAACACAGCUGAUGGUUUCCUCAGCAGCCCAGUGUGUGACACCUUAAAUUUCUGGAUCAUUAAGUGGACCACAGCCAUAUUAUUUCCAAUGAGCGCCUACUUUCAGGCUUAGUAGGGUGGAGGGUGGGUAGGGGGAAGUUCUACUCAGUUAUUCCCUCCUUGGGUACUCUCCUAGAGCCUGAGAGAUAGUGGCUGUUCCCAAUAACCACUAUUACUGUAUUCUUUAGUGGGAUUUUUUCCUGUCCUAAUAGUCAAUACCCUUUGACUGGAUCUUAACUGAUAAAAGUGGAACCCUGAGGAAAGCACUAUCCUUGGAGUCAGAAAUUGGGAUCAGAUUUUUUUUCUUUCUCUUAUGGUAUUCCUCAUAUUCGCUUAAUUUCUCCACUGCCUUUACCCUUUUUGGAUUUGAUGCUAUGUCAAGAAAAAAUUAUUUCAUCACUGAGCACUCUGAGUGUAGAGCAGAGUGCUAAAUAUUGCAUGCUAUUCCAGAAGAAAAAUAGUUUAGGAAUCCUAAAAGCCAAAGAAAGAAAGAUAUGAAUGCAUUCAGUUCUUAGAAGAGUUCUAUGAGAUAGAUGCUUGUGGCAGACAUAGUCUCCACCCAGAUCUCCUAGGAUCCCUUUGGUUGAAUCUGAGUAUCCUUCCUCUAGCUUCUGUGUUCUUUUACUUCUCACAGCCUGCCCCGAGAAUCUCUUUGGAGGAAGGCCCAAACACUACUAGACUCACUUUGUGUACUGGCAUAGAGAGCCAGACAGAACCACCUGCAAGUUUACUUCUUUCCCAGGAUACCCUUUGCCAAGGACUUUCCUAUAGAGUAUAAAAGACCAGCCGUCUUGCCUCUAGUAGCAAGAAAACCUGAGGUGUAAUUUACACCCUGAGGCUCCCCUAUAGAAUUAUAUUGAUGUUAAUAUUUUGCCUGAAACCACCUUCUUCCCUAUCUUGCUUACUGUGGUACCUGAUGAGUUUUUCUUGGUAGCAUUUCUAUAAUAAAUCACUUGCAGACAAUCUUCAUCUCAGGGUUUGAUCCUGGGGAUCCUGACUUAAGACAUUGCUAUUCUUUUUUUUUUUUCUUUUACAGAUGAGGAAACUGAGGAUCAGGGCUUUUAAAUUGCCCCAAAUCACACUACUAAUAAGAGAUAGAGUUGUGGUACCUUUUUUAGAGGGACCAUUAUUCUGCUGACUGCAGUACUGUAGAGCAUAAAGUUUCUUAUCCACACUGUUUCUUAGUUCAGUCUGUCAAUAUCACUACUCCACGAUUAUUGUUGUUUGUUUUUCUUUCUCCCUGUCUUUUACCUCAAAAAUCUCUAUUGUGAUGCCAGAGAGACCUUUCUGAAACCUCUCCUUUUUUCUGUGUUUAAAACCCCCCAGUGCCGCCCAUGAAAUACACAGCAAAGUCCAAACUCCUUAUCUUGCUUGGAUCCUCCUUUCCACCCUUUUUAACUGUUCAGCCAUAUUUCUCCAUGUACUUCUGAGAUUGGAACCCAGGGCAACAAAGCUAAUGUGGGUUCUCCAAGAUUAACACAACUGAAAGGAGGCCCCUUUAUGCCAUCUAUUCUAGGUCCCUUGGAAUAUAAUUAAAAACAGGAAUUUCAACAUUGAAAUGUAAUGAUGUUCAGGUAAGGGCAGUAAGGUACAUUGACUUGAGUCAAUCUCCCACCAUGUCUGGGGACUGGGACAGCUGAGCCAGGGGUCCUACCUAAGGGUCAGGCCUGUGUCUUCACUUCUCCUUUCAACCCUUUACUUCUUCCAGAGUUGAACGGCUUACUUUCCUUCUCUCACUAGGCCAUUUCAUGGCUUGUGUUUGCCUGAAAUACAACUCUUUCCCUCCCUGGUCUACACCUGCUCACCCUGAAAGAAAUACCUCUGAGCCCACUUUCUUUCUUGGAAGCAUUUUAUGACUCUUAUUUCUGUUAUCAACACAGCUUUUAUUUAUGUCUCCAUGUAUCCUUUGAAGAAACACAACUUUUCAGGUUCUAUGUUUUAUUUGCAUUCUUAGUGUCUGGCACAUUGUCUGACACAGUGUAAAAGCUGAGUAGAAUUUUGCCUGAUAGCAGAUGUGCCUGAAGUGAGGGUGUCCAAAAUUUCAUUAAAUGACGACUGCUUUAAUAUGAAUUCUUGGCUAAGGCAGGAGAAUCGCUUGAACCCAGGAGGCAGAGGUUGCAGUGAGCCGAGAUCACACCACUGCACUCCAGCCUGUAAUGUCUUACAAUAACAGAAUGCAGGAGAGCACAUAUCAAUGAAGAAAAGACAAAAUGUACUUAUCCAUGAAGCUGAGGUUAAGAAACCAGUGUCUUCAAGAGCCAGGGACAGCACUGGGUCUGUGCAGAGUUGAGAGAUGGUGAUGACAUGUGGUUUCCAGCAUUCCUCACCCAGUCCAGGGACACUGUGGGUGUGCCCAGCUUAAGUCCAGUAACUGGAAAUACAAGCCCAAGUUCUGGAGAGUUUGAGCUGCAGAGAUAUAUAUGGGAACACUUUGAAUCUUGACUCAUUGGCCAUAACCAGCAGAGUGGAAAAUACAAGAAGAGAAAAAAACAUUGAACUGCGAUUUUAUAACAUCCUUUACUAGGCAGAGAGAAGAGGAAACACCAGGAAAGAAAACUGUAUUACGAUGUGAAAACUUAAUGUUGAGAAAUUCAGGCAUCUUGGGGUUAGUGAGGAGAAGUUUUAGGGGCUUAGAUUCUUCUAAACACAUGUACAGAAAUGCAUAUUUCAUCUGAUAUCAAAUGGCAUUUAUAGUGCUAAUCUUUACCUCAAGACUUCACAUCUUUUGGUGAUUGCAUCUUUUAGGUUUAUAGCAGCUAAGUUUGCAUGAAAACACCAGGGCUGUUUCAUUUCAGUCAAGAAUUAAUGUUCAUUGAUUGUGCUUCUGCAUUUCAUGUAACUAUUGUAGAAUUUGUUUUAGUUUUAUGAGGGAAUAAUUGUUCCAACUUCUAUAUAACUCAGGAAUUUACUCUCAAACAACACUGUCAAUUAGUUACUUAUCUCUCUGGAAAUGAUCUGGGAACAUGGAGAGGAAAGGGAGGAAGGGGCAAAAUCUGACCACUUAAAUCUAAGCAUAUUAGAUCAUUUUAUGCUAGAAAGUCCUGAAUGAUGUGACUUUCGUUCUUGUAAAACACCUCUUUCCAUAGAUUCAUGGCCCAAACAGUAUAUAAAGAGUGGGGAAGGAACUGCAUUUGCAAAUAGUUCAAAUCAUUGCUCCAUCUUAACUACGCAGUUCACAAAGUGUGAAGAAAUGUGAUCAUCUCAAAAAAGAUAAUGGGGAAAAAAUAUGUUUUGUUCUGUGACUUUAAAGUCUUGCAAUAUUUUACAUAAAUGAUAAUGGGUGCUUUAAUAAGAACUCUUGAUACUUUUGUUAUUGUAUUCAAUAUAUGCAUAUAAUACAACAGGAUGAUAUUGUUUUGGAUUUGGAAAUGUAUUCUUUCUUAUGCAAUCUUAUGCAGUCAUACUGCUUGAAUAUCAUUACCUGAAUUUAUCUUUCUUUUUUUUGUUGUUGUUUUACACUCUACUUAUUUGGUGCCUGUCAGUCUUUUGUCGUCAGUUUAUAUUCUACUAAACUCAAAAAGACAAUCUCAUACCUUUUGUAAUUGUAGGCAUUCUUUACUAGAUUUUUAAAUACACUUCAAAAAUUCAAGUACUUUGAUUUCAUGCCAUCAAGUAGCUGAAUCUAUCCCCCCGUCUCUUUUUAAAUUUAAGUGAGUAGUUCAAUUUCUGUCACUUUCUACUUUGUGAAUUCUAAAUCUUUUAAAACCAUCUUGCCAUUUUUCGUGCACUUACCCUUACAGAAAACUCUGUGAAACACUACUUAUCUCUACUUUUAUGUUUUUAACUCCUUUUUUAUAUUACUAUUCCCUCUGCUUUCUAAAUGCACAUAUUAAUUUGUUCUUUUUAUUCUCUGUAGCUCUUCUCAGUGUAUGAAUUCAGUUUCCCAUCAGUCUCCAUACAAUUAAAAAAAAGUUGAGUAUUCUGUUAUUUUAAUAAGAUAUCUAGUGCCCAUAUUCUAAUUCUGCCCCUUAUUUUUAAUAUAAUUUUAUUGUUGAUUUAAAAUGACAACAGUUUCAAUUCCCAGAAAGUGAAAGGAAACAAAGGAAUAAUAUUAUAGGCUUAAUUUUUAUCAGUGAACUUGUAGGUGAAGAAAAGAUUUGGGGAAGGAAAUGAACAUAUUAUAUUGCAAAAUAGUAAGGAACAAUCAGAUGUGUUUUCUAGUCUCUGGAAAAGCAUGUUUCAAGAAAUUCAAUGAAAAGUUCAUCAUGCUUGCUUAGAUUGUUGAGAAGCAAAAACACUGAUGAACAUUUGGAAGCAAUGAGAAUGUAAUUCUAAUCAUACUCUUUUAAUAAUGUUGCAAAACUCUCCAAACACUACUCUGUGUGGAUGUCUUUCAGAAUAUGAUGAAUACUAGUAGUCUUAUUCUGCCCUUUUCUCUCUAUCACAAUAUAUACAUUCUAUAUUGCAUACACAUAUUUUCCAAAUAUUACAUAUAAUUUCAUGUAAUUUAUAGACCUAUUAAGGCCCAACCAUUUUCUUGGAUAGGGGAUUCUUUAGAAGUCCAGCUUAAAUAAAGCCCGUAUAGAAAGUUUUUUUAAAAUUUAUACAUAAUCACCUAAAGUAACCUUAUCUACUGAACUCUUAGUACAUGCUACUGGAACCUUUUAUCAUGUUUCUUCCUGGCUUGCAUUACAACACUGUUGACAUAUCUCAGCCUUACUUCUAGGCUUCUUUGAGAGCAUGACUCAUGUUUGUAUUCCUCACUGAGGUUGAAUGAAUAAGAGAAACUACAGUAGUAGGAAAAAACAGUACAUGUACAUAUCAAUGAAUAUGAAAGGGUCAAAUGGAUCUAUUAUAGUAAGCACAAAAUCAACUGACACCAGCAAAGUAAACCCAAAAUUUUUAAUGGUAUUUUAAUAGAUCAAGAGGAGCAAGCAGAUUUUUGAGACAGUUGUCUCCUACUUUCUCUAUCACAGGGAGUAAUUUUAAAAGAAAAAUGGAGGGUAAGUUUCUUUAAGAGAAAAUUGUAGUUUAAAACAGGUCAUGGGAUAAUUAGAAAUAAUUUAAUUUCUUUAGAGGAUUUUAAUCUUUCAACUGCUUGCAAUUAGAUCCUAAGGCAAUAAAAGAAUAAGGAGAUUUGGAAAACCAUUGUCUGUAAUCUCUGAAGAAAAGUGGACAUUAGGGGAGUCAGUUGAAAAGCAAAGCUAUCACCAUUUUCUAAAGAGGAAAAAGGUGAACCUCACAAACUAUAGACCAAAAAAAUAGGACAUCGAGAGAAAGAAUAUGAAGCUAGCAUAGGUUCACAAAGAAUGAGUCAAAUCAAACAACAUGCAUUUUUUAUUUAUAAAGCAUGACUUGUUCAUUGUCAAUUCAUGUUAGCUUAAUCAUUAGGCAUUAAUGCCAUCACUGCAAUGCAUAUGUCAGCAAUAAAUAAUCAAAGACCAGGCUUCCAUCAUUCUGUUUAAUAUCUUCAAGUAAUGCUUAAGUUUGCAAAUGCUCUUUUAACACAUUCUCCAUAUGCAGCCUGCCCAGCACUGCACACAAUAGACCUGUUACUUCCCCCUCACGAGCACUCCUAAUAUUUCAUGUGCUCAUCCAAUUGACUUCUCCCACUGGUGCCUCAUAUUGAAUUUGUAGAAUCACACCUGCUCCUUUUUCAAAACUCUUCUGAGUUUUUUCUUAAAUAAUUCACUGACCCCAAAGUUGUCAGAUAUUUGAAGACUACUCGCACAAUUUUAAUAUUAUAAAUGUAUAAUGUAAAUGUAAUUAAGAUUUGUAUAAUGUACGAUGUACUUUGGUAAAUAAAAGUAUGCUGUGAAUAAAUACGUAUGAUACAAUUCAAAAUUUUACAUAAAUAUGUGAUAAAAUUUAGCUCAUAUUCUUUUUUUUUUUCUUUGAGACGGAGUCUCACUCUGUUGCACCCAGGCUAGAGUGCAGCAGCAUGAUCUCAGCUCACUGCAACCUCUACCUCCUGGGUUCAAACAAUUCUCCUGCCUCAGCCUCCUGAGUAGCUGGGAUUACAGGUGCCCGCCACCAUGCCCAGCUAAUUUUUUUCUAUUUUUGUUGUUGUUGUUGUUUUUAGUAGAGACGGGGUUUCACCAUGUUGGUCAGGCUGGUCUUGAACUCCUGACCUCAGAUAAUCCACCUGCCUCGGCCUCCCAAAGUUCUGGGAUUACAGACGUGAACCACGGUGCCCGGCCUAGUUCAUGUUCUUUAAGGACAAUUAUGAAUAUUUUUAUGCACUGUUAAUUUUCAUUAAGAUAUUGAUCAAUUAAUAGCUAUAUAUGUUCUAUAAAUUAAUCCUAUCUAGUUUCAAUCUUAAAUUGUUUGCAUAUACCAAUCUAGUUUAUUGUUUGCAUAUAUUUUAUAGUGUAGAGAUUAGGCAUUUUAAUAAAAUUUUAAAAUUUCCAGGACAUACUGUUAAUGACUAUGCUUCCUACUAUAGGCCAUAAUUAAUUUUUUUCUAUUGUCAACAAUAUUUUGGUAGGGAUGAUCAGGAAAUAAGGAAAUGUUUCCUUCAUUUGUUAACAAUAGGUGUUUGGGGAUUUUAAAAUGAAAAUUGAAGAAGUAAAAGACACCAUAUAUUUAGUUUGUUUGAUUUCGUGGCUUCAAGAGUUCAAUAAUUUAUUGAAAUAUUUUACAGACCAAAGAACAACAGAUAUAUUACGUUUAUAAGCCCCCACAUAUUUUAAAGGAUAAUGGUUUAUAUAUGAAAAUUCCCUGAACCUACACUUCAUCAGGAAAAGCUAAAUAAAAGAAGUUUACAUUUCCUAGGACUAAUGGAGAUUUAUUUCCCAGUCCUCUUCUCUGGAGACAAAUGUAGGUCUCUCUUGAAAAGCAGAAAGUUUUGCAUAUGAGGUAUGAUUUAGUGGGCUAGAAACAUCUUUUCCACCCUCCCCAAAAUGUUUCACUAUGUUUUAUCAUACUAUCUGAUAAUUUUGCACUAAAGUUUUCUUUCUGUGUUAAGAAAAUGCAAAUAUCUCUGAAUGGGUCUCUUUGCUUUAGUCAUACUCAUAUGGCUACUACUGAACAAAAUAUGUUCAUUACAGGAUGAAGGGAAUGUUGCCAGCCAGCAAAUCCCUAGAGUUUGCACUACACCAAACGUUGCUUAGCAAUUUCCACGAUUUUCUCAGUCUAAUUUGCAAGAAUCAAGGAGAUGUUUGUGUAUGCUACAUGAAGUUGUAAAAUUGGUAUUUAUUGUAUGUUUCUAUAUCGAAAGCUUUACAAACAAAGGAAAUGGAAAGUUAACAGGUGGAUAUGAUAGUGUGGCACUACUUUAGCUGGAUGGUAAGGGAGAGCUUCUCUUAGGAAGUGUUUUAGGCCAGGACUUGAAUAAUGAACAGUAUCUAGUUGUACAAAAAUCUGGAGGAAAGACUUUUCAGGCCCAGGAGAAAUGAAAAUUCUUUUCAUGCAUACAAGAAUGAAAGUGAAAAUUACCUACUCUAUGUCCUGAAGUGGGAAGUUGGCUUGCCAGAGAGUAGGUAAUUUUCACUUUGAUUCUUUCAUGCCUUCAGUUAUACUACUUCUUAGGUUAGUUCAUAAGGGUUUCCACAAUUUGGUUCCCACUUAAAAUUUAAAACUUCCCUAACCCAUUCCCACCAUAUAUUGUGCUAAUCCAUGCAUAUGUGACUUUGCGUAUGCUGUUUUCAUUGUUUAAUAUUCUUCUCAUGCAUUCGUUCUUUCCUGAUAACGAACUCAUCUUUGAAACUCCCCUUCAAGCAUCCUCUACUUUAGGAGGCCGCUUCUCACUGUCUCCUGCCUACCACCCAUUGAAUUGUUCAAUUUUUAAGCUGCCAUUGUCUUGUGCAGUUGACACAUUUCUUUGCAAUUACUGAUUUACAUGUCUGCUUUUAUCACUGGUGAGGUUCUUUAGGACAGAGACAUUAUUAAUUCAUCUCUGGGCACAUAUGUUCCAACAUAUUAGAAGUACUACAGAGUGCUAUUACUAUGUAGUAUGUAGUAUUAGUAGUAGUUACUCACAAAUCAUUUUUAAAUAAGUGAUUAUAAUAUCUUUUUGUUAUUAUGAUUUAACACAAGAUGGAAUUUAUUUUCAGAAGUUUCCAUGAUAUAUUUGUUCUAUUUAAAAUCCAAUAGCCAUUAGAAUAUUACCAUUAUUUAAUGUAAAACAAUAAAAUAUUAAAUAUGAUCGUUCAUAUUUAAUGCAAACCGAACUCAUGGAAAUAUUGUGUAAAGAUCAAGUAAUUUUUGACAUACAAUUUUAAACUCAACUUUUCAUAUAGCAUACCUUAUGAUAUAUUUUCAGCCUACUUUUAAAUAUGUUGGCAUUGAAAGCCAGUUACUAAUUCGCUGAAUUCAUGAUUUCUUUUUAAGUUAUAGAAGUGGAAUUAUGUUUGAGAUAUUCAUUGCAUUACAUUUACCAGAACUUGAGUUCUUAACAUGGAACCUGAGAGUUUCUCCAAUUCUUAAGUCCCUGGGAGAAAUAGAUUAGCUGGAUGAGGAACUGAGAGGAAAAAUGGUCAGAGAUGUAGCAAGAGUUGGGAAGAAGGAACAAUGAUUUGCUUUCAAGGAGAUUUUUUCAUUGGUCUGUUUUCAGUGACAAACCCACUGCGAUAAUACAUGUAAAGUGAAAACAUUCAGGAAGUUCCCUUAGAAACCUCUUUUCUGGCAGUUCCUAAUUCUACAACAUUGUAUAAGUGAAAUACCAUAGUUACUGUCAUAGUAAAUUGAGCCAAGAGAAACAAGGGAGCAGGAGAAGAAAAGAAUUAAAGAGAGUUUUGUCUUUCAGUCUUCACUCUGUUUCUUCUUGCUUUUACCAGUCAUUCAGGUUUAUAUAAUUUCUUUAGAGAGGCUUCUACUAUGCAGGUCUUCCUUAAAGUCAUUGGUAUUACCUGGCAUGAUAUGUGAGCCUUUAAUAUCAGUCCCUUUAUCUCUUUAUUUUUAAAGUUUAUAUCAGUACAGAGUCCUGGAUUCUUAAUUAAUUUAAUAGGUUAGACUUUAUGCUAAUAUUCUUCAUUUUGAUGCUCAAAUUUUCCAAAAUUUGGCCAGCAGGGUUCCUUAAAGCUGGGUACCUUGCCCUUUCAACAUGUCCCUCUGAUUCUUUAUUUUUAUUUACUUAUUUAUUUAUUUAUUUAUUUAUUUAUUUAUUUAUUUAUUUAGAGACUGAGUCUUGCUCUGUCUCCCAGCCUGGAGUGCAAUGGCACAAUCUUGGCUCACUGCAACCUCUAUCUCCCAGGUUCAAGCAAUUCUCCUCCCUCAGCCUCCCGAGCAACUGGGACUACAGGCAUGUGCAACCAUGCCUGGCUAAUUUUUUUUGUAUUUUUAGUAGAGACAGGCUUUCACCAUGUUGGUCAGGCUGGCCUCGAUCUCCUGACCUCAAAUGAUCCAUCGCCUCGGCCUCCCAAAGUGCUGGGAUUACAGGCGUGAGCUGCCACACCCAGCCGUCCCUCUCAUUCUUUAAGUACUUCCAUGUUUUCUAAGGUACAAGAUGUUCCAUAUUAUUUUGUUAUUUGUCUUCCCCAGCUCUGAAAUCUGCCUUUCCUUCAAGGAGCCUUGGUUCUUUCUAGUGACAAAUUAUAUUUAGAAAGAAGAUCUGGGUAUUUGACUUGUAUAUUGCUAUUAAUUGGCCAUUGUUUCUAGUCUCUUUCAGUAGACAGAGCUAAGAAAUGUAAAAGGAAAUAUUUGAAUGUAUGUAUAUGUGAUAUAUUAAGUACAUUUAAACAUAUUAAAUUCAUGAGUUCAUACUAAUACUUUCAAUAAGCCACAAUUCCCUUUUCAUGUUUUCGAAGGAAAAAUAUCCAUUGUCUAUAUACAGUGGACAUAGAUAGUAAUAAUACUGAUCUUGAAAAGAGCAGUCUUAAAUAGAUCCCAUUAAUAGUUAAAGAUAACAUAUCUUAGAAUUCUAGAUAUUAGAGAGAUUAUCUAGAGCUGUAAUCUAGAUAUUUUAUAGAUCUUUGCUGUGCUGUUUUGAAUUUGUGUUGGAGUAGAACAAUCAGAUGACAAAAGCUCAUCCCACAUGGAAAAAUCAAAGCAUUCAUUACAGAGAGAAUUUUGAAAUAAAUGCAUAUAUAAAAAAUAUAUAUGCAUAUAUAAUGCAUAUGUAUAUGCAUAUAAAAUAUAUAUAUAUAAAAUGAGGGUUAUAAACAAUGAAGGAAAUAGUGAUACUAUCUAUGUGGGAACAAUACUAGUAUCCUCCCUUUGGAUGAAUACAGUAGCUACAGAUGCAAUUCUGGGGACUCUGUUUAGCAAUAGCUUAACUAUUGCUUGGCUACAAGCAUGGAUAACUUGUUCAAAGAUAAUGAGGAGUUGUAAAUAUUUAAAUAAACAGGAUUUGCAACAUAAAAAGCUUUGUGACUAUGUGUCUGAAUUCUUAGAGUUUUCUCCCAGCAAGACCUUGGAUGUGGCAGACUUUUCUGUAAUUGUCCAUCUCGCCCCUAUUUCAUGAAAAGCCAGAGCUUCUCUACUUAGUUUGCUAACCCCAAAUAUAUAAAUUCAAUAGAAGUACUAGCCUGUUUUUACUGGUUUAUUUGCUUUAUCUAAAAAAAACAAGGCAUAGUUUAAAGUCUGUUUUUGAUAGCAUAACAAAACAAAGGUUCUCAUUUUAAUAAUGCAUCACAUAUACACUUGGUAACUAUUGCAUAGUAAUAAUUUAAUAACUUGAGAAAUAUAUUUAUGCAUGUAUGUGUAUAUGUUCAUAUAUAUGUUAUUUUUAAUUCAGAAGUAAAACAAAUAUUGGAAGAGGCCACAGUUAUUAUAAAAAUAAUUUGACCAGUAUUGGACAAUGCAAAUAGCAAUCAUUUAGAAGUUUCUGUACAACAGAUGCCAUAUGUGUUACAUUUUAUUUGAUCAUCAAAAUUGUCAUAGAUAUUAUUAUCCCCAUUUCAUAGAAGAAACUGAGAUUAUAUAAUUUGUUCAACUUGACCAACUUCUUAUAACUAAUACAUAGUAGAGAUAAGGUUGAAACCUCAUUAACCAACUUCUUAUAACUAAUACAUAGUAGAGAUAAGGUUGAAACCUCAUUAGGUUUGACUCCAGACCCCAGCCUCUUUUGAGUGCAUCAUAAAAGGCUUUGGUCUGCCCGUGGCCAGUAACAACUUUUACUAAAUUGAUUCUUUGCUUUUUAUCUGUAAAAGGAAGUUAUUCACCUAUUUUGAUGAUCCCCAAUGUUUUUAACAUCAAUAAAUGUGUCCACCACACAUGAUAGUUUUUAAUGUUUUGUUUCCAUGAUUACAGGAUUAAAAAACUAUUAAUUAGUGAUACUUUUAAUUUUGAUUUUAUUAAUUAAAACACAUCUGUCUACAUCUGAAGAAUAGCACUUGUGACAACAGCAUAGACGGCUUCAUUUUGAGGAGUAAAUUACAAUUGAACAUGACCAAAUAUACAUAGAGAAGGCGUGGACCACACAAAUGUGAUUGAAAGCUGGCGUGGAGUCAUCUUAAAUUGACUUUUUCCCAAAGGGCCCCUAAAAGAGGGUAGAAUCCCAACAGAUAGAGUCUAUGGAGAGAUAGACUGCUGAGACCCAUAUUAUGGUCAGUGAAGUGCAGGCAAGGAAGGGAUCCUUAGCAAAAUGGGGAGAGGAAUGGAUGGUCUGAAAAACCCUGAAGGAACUGAAACACUCUGCAAAGGAAAGAAGAACAAGUAUCAGCUUUGACCCCUGCCAGACCUAGGCAGCAACAACGGCAGCUCACAAAGCACCAGAACAAACGCGCUUUCUUGUGCCCCUACAUGUCUUCCCUUCACCGUCUUGAACCCUGGUGUCAUCAUAAACUGUGUAAGUUAACAACUGAGGAGGGGAAGAAUGAUAAAUUGGGAAAAUAGAAAAGUGUCUGGGCCCUACUUUCAUACCGUAGGCCAGCCUUCUGUAGCAUGGCAGAUUAGGCAAGUGCAGAAGCCUUAAUUUUGAAUGAAAGUUGGAGUUUUUGUUCUGCUCUGGCUGUACCUAUCAGUUUCAAAACUGGAAUAGUUUAAAUGACUAAAGUACUAGGAAGAUUUUAUUACUUAAUAUAACUAUGGAGAACUGACCAAGAUUUUAUCUAGGGGGAGGAGUAUCACCCUACAGAGCAGACUUUAAGGGACAUUAUGAGAGAAAACAGUUACUUAGUGAUUUAAUGUUGCCAAUUCUGUUCUUUAGAAUACCAUCAUGUAUUUAUAUCCCUAUAUAUCACAUAACUAAAAUAUACAUUUAUCUGUACGCGUGUGUAUCAUAUGGAGCACAUUUUCUUUUGCAGGGUUUCUUUGUUUUAAAUGUCUAUUUGGUUAUUUUCUUGAUUGAAUUUCUGUGUAUGCUUUUUUCCUCAAUGCUUUAGCUGUAAGCGAAUAAGUGACAGAGCUCCUUGCUGCUCAAAUUUUAUGCCAGAUAAAAUAUUCACCUUCUCGGACUCCCUGGCACCAGGCAUGGCCAUGUAAUCCUACAGCACAGCUGAUGAAAGAGAAGACAUCUUGCUGCUAUUUGACAAGCAAGAAGAUAAAAGCUUUCCUAUAAAGAUGAUGGAGCAAAAAAAUAGAAGGGGCCUAGACUCCCUACCUUCACACUUCCUGCUAUAAAAGCAUUGCUAUUAUAAGGUUAAUCUGCAGAAACAGACUUCUAUGUCAUAUGCUUAAAUGCAUCAAAAUUCAUACAAUAUCCAUUAAAUUGGUAAAAGUAUCCAUUUUAAAGGAUUAAUCUGAGGGACCCACAGACACUUAACACAAUCAAAUCUCAGAAAAAAAAUCAGUUAUUUCAUUGUGAUUUUGAGGCUGAUCUUUUAUGAUCUUUUAGUUAUCAAACUGUUAAAUACAUUUUAACUUUCAAAUUUUAUGAAUAAAGGAGAUGAAUCCUGUUAUUUUCUCAGUGUGAGUGUGAUGAUGUGUGUCAUAUGUGCCUAUGUAUGCACACACAUGUACUCAAGGAGCCUGAAAGGGACCAUGACUUUCUGGGCACUCAAUGCUACUUAUCUCUAACUCCUCCUUCAAAUGUCCCCAUUCUAAGUCUACUUCCUUAGGGAAUAGGUACAAAUAUAUCCCAU
Molecule: long non-coding RNA, 14048 nt
Filed under: Homo sapiens (human)
Lineage: Eukaryota; Metazoa; Chordata; Mammalia; Primates; Hominidae
Description: non-protein coding MAGI2-AS3:84
Source: RNAcentral